CGGGACGGGUGAGUAACGCGUGGGUAACCUGCCUCACACUGGGGGACAACAGUUAGAAAUGACUGCUGAUACCGCAUAAGCGCACAGGACCGCAUGGUCUAGUGUGAAAAACUCCGGUGGUGUGAGAUGGACCCGCGUUUGAUUAGCUAGUUGGUGGGGUAACGGCCUACCAAGGCGACGAUCAAUAGCCGACCUGAGAGGGUGACCGGCCACAUUGGGACUGAGACACGGCCCAA
RNAcentral lists this ribosomal RNA (236 nucleotides) under uncultured bacterium. RNAcentral's name for it is "partial 16S ribosomal RNA". It matches the Rfam family "Bacterial small subunit ribosomal RNA", at positions 100 to 334 of the family's 1533-position model. The record is from RNAcentral.